GACGAACGCUGGCGGCGUGCUUAACACAUGCAAGUCGAACGGAAAGGCCCUGCUUGCCGGGUGCUCGAGUGGCGAACGGGUGAGUAACACGUGGGUGAUCUGCCCCUUACUUUGGGAUAAGCCUGGGAAACUGUGUCUAAUACUGGAUAGGACCAUGCUGUAGGUGGUGUGGUGGAAAGAUUAGUUUCGGUAAGGGAUGAGCUCGCGGCCUAUCAGCUUGUUGGUGGGGUAAUGGCCUACCAAGGCGUCGACGGGUAGCCGGCCUGAGAGGGUGGACGGCAACAUUGGGACUGAGAUACGGCCCAGACUCCUACGGGAGGCAGCAGUGGGGAAUAUUGCAAAAUGGGAGAAAGCCGGAUGCAGCGACGCCGCGUGGGGGAUGACGGCCUUCGGGUUGUAAACUCCUUGCAGCCAUGACGAAGCCCUUGUGGUGACGGUAGUGGUAGAAGAAGCACCGGCUAACUACGUG
This 469-nucleotide ribosomal RNA is filed under the name uncultured bacterium. Its description in RNAcentral is "partial 16S ribosomal RNA". It matches the Rfam family "Bacterial small subunit ribosomal RNA", at positions 28 to 507 of the family's 1533-position model. The record is from RNAcentral.